GGGAGGGUAGCGAAGAGGCUAAACGCGGCUGACUGUAAAUCAGCUCCUGAGGGUUCGGCAGUUCGAAUCUGCCCCCUCCCACCA
This 84-nucleotide transfer RNA is filed under the name Candidatus Alectryobacillus merdavium. RNAcentral describes it as "tRNA-Tyr". It matches the Rfam family "tRNA". Rfam says of the family: Transfer RNA (tRNA) molecules are approximately 80 nucleotides in length. Their secondary structure includes four short double-helical elements and three loops (D, anti-codon, and T loops). The record is from RNAcentral. Lineage: Bacteria; Bacillati; Bacillota; Bacilli.